GAGUUUGAUCCUGGCUCAGAGUGAACGCUGGCGGCGUGCUUAACACAUGCAAGUCGAACGGUAACAGAGAGUACUUGUACUCUGUUGACGAGUGGCGCACGGGUGAGUAAUAUAUAGAUAAUGUGCCCCUUGGACCGGGAUAGCCAUUGGAAACGAUGAUUAAUACCGGAUACUCCUUCUUACCAAAAGGUAAGUUGGGAAAUGGAUUCCGCCAAGGGAUCGGUCUAUAUCCCAUCAGCUAGUUGGUAGUGUAAGAGACUACCAAGGCGAUGACGGGUAGCGGGUUUGAGAGGAUGAUCCGCCACACUGGUACUGAGACACGGACCAGACUCCUACGGGAGGCAGCAGUGAGGAAUAUUGCACAAUGGGGGAAACCCUGAUGCAGCAACGCCGCGUGGAGGAUGACGCAUUUCGGUGUGUAAACUCCUUUUAUAUGUCAAGAAAA
This 445-nucleotide ribosomal RNA is filed under the name uncultured prokaryote. RNAcentral's name for it is "bacterial SSU rRNA". It matches the Rfam family "Bacterial small subunit ribosomal RNA", at positions 9 to 451 of the family's 1533-position model. The record is from RNAcentral.